CGCUCGGGGAAAGGCAAAAGACGGCGGCUCAGGGGCGGCCAAAGAGCCGGGCCCUUCUCCUCGGGAGGCUUGGGGGAGGAGGCUUCGGGCGCUCAUGGCCCUCCUGCGCGGCAGCCGGCGCCCAAGAGCGGAGCGCCAGCAUCCCGGGGCCCCCUCUCCCCCGCCAGUCUCCGCUGCUGCUCCUGCUGCAGCGCCGGCCCGGGACAGGCGGGGAACGAGGCCCUCCGAUUGCUAAGCAACCGAGGGAGCCGCAAUAAAGAGGCGCGGGCCGUCCGGCCGUCCCGGCUAGCAACCAAAGCGUGGCUAGUGAGGGCGUCGCGUUGGGCAGAGCUCCGCGGCCUGCAAUGUAACCAUGUUAUCUGUGCCACGCCUCUCAGCGAGAGAAACGGUCUCCUCCUGGUCGUUACUCUGCGUUGGGAAGAGCUGCACCGGUUGAAUCUGCGCCUGUUUAAACGCAGGAUUAAACGAGGGAGGCUUUGCGGAUAUCUACUACCGUGGACUGGACAGGAUCACUUGGAUUAUACAUGAGGUAAACGAAUAUCAGACUUAGACUGCUUUGUGGACAGGAUGAAGAUGCGUAUUAGGUGCUUUUCUUCUGUAAUUAGCAGUAUGCACAUGCAGGCUCUUGGCUAAAGUAACAAUCUAGACAUGCAUCUGUUUGUUAUACUGCCUAUCUAGUGACAUCUCAUUACUCUGGCUGGUUUACAAGCGUACACAUAAAACAUCAGCCCCCACCCAUCUAUAUAUAAUCCAAAGACAACCUCCCAAAAACAGACCCCCAUGGCAAUGAUGACCAAUCU
RNAcentral lists this long non-coding RNA (800 nucleotides) under Pogona vitticeps (central bearded dragon). RNAcentral's name for it is "lncRNA (ENSPVIG00000008209.1)". The record is from RNAcentral. Lineage: Eukaryota; Metazoa; Chordata; Lepidosauria; Squamata; Agamidae.